GACGAACGCUGGCGGCGUGCUUAACACAUGCAAGUCGAACGGAAAGGCCUGCUUUCCCUUGUGGAUUGCGGGUACUCGAGUGGCGAACGGGUGAGUAACACGUGAGUGAUCUGCCCCCAACUUGGGUAUAAGCCUGGGAAACUGGGUCUAAUUCCCGAUAGGACUGCAGGGUGGUGCCUGUGGUGGAAAACGAUUUUCUAGUGGUUGGGGAUGAGCUCGCGGCCUAUCAGCUUGUUGGUGGGGUAAUGGCCUACCAAGGCGGCGACGGGUAGCCGGACUGGGAGGGGGGACGGCCACAUUGGGACUGGGAUACGGCCCAGACUCCUACGGGAGGCAGCAGUGGGGAAUAUUGCACAAUGAGCGGAAGCCUGAUGCAGCGACGGCGCGUGGGGGAUGACGGGCUUCGGGUUGUAAACUCCUUUCGACCGAGAGGAAGCCACCUGGUUGGAAGGGUGGUGACGGUAGUGGUAGAAGAAGCACCGGCUAACUACGUG
RNAcentral lists this ribosomal RNA (494 nucleotides) under uncultured bacterium. RNAcentral's name for it is "partial 16S ribosomal RNA". It matches the Rfam family "Bacterial small subunit ribosomal RNA", at positions 28 to 507 of the family's 1533-position model. The record is from RNAcentral.